This 75-nucleotide microRNA precursor is filed under the name Capra hircus (goat). Lineage: Eukaryota; Metazoa; Chordata; Mammalia; Artiodactyla; Bovidae. The record is from RNAcentral.
UACUUAAAGCGAGGUUGCCCUUUGUAUAUUCGGUUUUUUGACGUAGAAUAUACAAGGGCAAGCUCUCUGUGAGUA